GACGUAGGGCGCGAGCGUGUCCGGAUUUAUUGGGCGUAAAGAGCUCGUAGGCGGCUCGUUGCGUCGGCUGUGAAAACCCGCAGCUCAACUGUGGGCUUGCAGCCGAUACGGGCGGGCUGGAGUUCGGUAGGGGAGACUGGAAUUCCUGGUGUAGCGGUGAAAUGCGCAGAUAUCAGGAAAGAACACCCCGUGGCGAAAGGGCGGGCUCUCUGGGGACGUGACU
Molecule: ribosomal RNA, 223 nt
Filed under: uncultured bacterium
Lineage: Bacteria
Description: partial 16S ribosomal RNA
Rfam family: Bacterial small subunit ribosomal RNA
Source: RNAcentral